AUUAUUUUAUAUAUGGCAAAAAAAUGCAUUAGAAUUAGAAUCUAAUUAUGUGAAAAUUACACUCAUUUUAUUACUAUAAAUUAGUACACUAAGA
RNAcentral lists this transfer RNA (94 nucleotides) under Selenops micropalpus. Its description in RNAcentral is "tRNA-Leu". Lineage: Eukaryota; Metazoa; Arthropoda; Arachnida; Araneae; Selenopidae. The record is from RNAcentral.